AACUUCAGCUACAUAUGCGCGGAAAAGUGCCGCUUCUCAUCCGAUCAGUGGAGCGAAACCUGCGACAGCCCAGUCAGUACUAGCGUGUGGAUCAGCUGGGAAUGCUGGGUGCUGUAGUUU
RNAcentral lists this ribosomal RNA (120 nucleotides) under Gonapodya prolifera JEL478. The record is from RNAcentral. Lineage: Eukaryota; Fungi; Monoblepharomycota; Monoblepharidomycetes; Monoblepharidales; Gonapodyaceae.